This 324-nucleotide ribosomal RNA is filed under the name uncultured Actinomycetes bacterium. RNAcentral describes it as "bacterial SSU rRNA". It matches the Rfam family "Bacterial small subunit ribosomal RNA", at positions 28 to 351 of the family's 1533-position model. The record is from RNAcentral. Lineage: Bacteria; Bacillati; Actinomycetota; Actinomycetes.
GACGAACGCUGGCGGCGCGCCUAAAACAUGCAAGUCGAACGAGAAGCCCGGGCUUGCCCGGGUGGACAGUGGCGAACGGGUGAGUAACACGUGAGGAACCUGCCCCGAAGACCGGGACAACACCGGGAAACCGGUGCUAAUACCGGAUGCCUUCACCGGAUCGCAUGGUCUGGUGAAGAAAUGGAUUCCGCUUCGGGAUGGCCUCGCGGCCUAUCAGCUUGUUGGUGAGGUAACGGCUCACCAAGGCAACGACGGGUAGCUGGUCUGAGAGGAUGUCCAGCCACACUGGGACUGAGACACGGCCCAGACUCCUACGGGAGGCAG